CUACGGGACGCAGCAGUGAGGAAUUUUGCGCAAUGGGGGCAACCCUGACGCAGCAACGCCGCGUGAGUGAAGAAGGCCUUUGGGUCGUAAAGCUCUGUCAACAGGGAAGAAGUUACUUCAUAUUAAUAGUAUGUAGUAUUGACGGUACCUGUGGAGGAAGCAUCGGCUAACUCCGUGCCAGCAGCCGCGGUAAUACGGGGGAUGCAAGCGUUAUUCGGAAUCAUUGGGCGUAAAGGGCACGCAGGCGGCUCUGUCAGUCAGAUGUGAAAGCCCGGGGCUCAACCCCGGACGUGCAUUUGAAACAGCAGAGCUUGAGUACGGUAGAGGAAAGCGGAAUUCCUGGUGUAGAGGUGAAAUUCGUAGAUAUCAGGAGGAACACCGGUGGCGAAGGCGGCUUUCUGUACCGAAACUGACGCUGAGGUGCGAAGGCGUGGGUAGCGAACAGGAUUAGAUACCCCGGUAGUC
This 465-nucleotide ribosomal RNA is filed under the name uncultured bacterium. RNAcentral describes it as "partial 16S ribosomal RNA". It matches the Rfam family "Bacterial small subunit ribosomal RNA", at positions 339 to 795 of the family's 1533-position model. The record is from RNAcentral.